UACGUAGGGUGCAAGCGUUAAUCGGAAUUACUGGGCGUAAAGCGUGCGCAGGCGGUUGUGCAAGACAGAUGUGAAAUCCCCGGGCUUAACCUGGGAAUUGCAUUUGUGACUGUACGGCUAGAGUGUGUCAGAGGGGGGUAGAAUUCCACGUGUAGCAGUGAAAUGCGUGGAGAUGUGGAGGAAUACCGAUGGCGAAGGCAGCCCCCUGGGAUAACACUGACGCUCAUGCACGAAAGCGUGGGGAGCAAACAGG
This 253-nucleotide ribosomal RNA is filed under the name uncultured bacterium. Its description in RNAcentral is "partial 16S ribosomal RNA". It matches the Rfam family "Bacterial small subunit ribosomal RNA", at positions 524 to 776 of the family's 1533-position model. The record is from RNAcentral.